CCGGAUUUACUGGGUGUAAAGGGAGCGCAGGCGGUUUGGCAAGUUGAGAGUGGAAGCAGGGGGCUCAACCCCCUGACUGCUCCCAAAACUGUUAAACUUGAGUAUGGGAGAGGCAGGCGGAAUUCCUAGUGUAGCGGUGAAAUGCUUAGAUAUUAGGAAGAACACCGGUGGCGAAGGCGGCCUGCUGGACCAAAACUGACGCUGAGGCUCGAAAGCGUGGGUAGCAAACAGGAUUAGAUACCCUGGUAGUCCACGCUGUAAACGAUGAAUACUAGGUGCUGGGAGGCAUAAGCCUUUCGGUGCCGUCGCAAACGCAUUAAGUAUUCCACCUGGGGAGUACGUUCGCAAGAAUGAAACUCAAAGGAAUUGACGGGGACCCGCACAAGCGGUGGAGCAUGUGGUUUAAUUCGACGCAACGCGAAGAACCUUACCCGGUCUUGAGAUCCUCCUGAAUACAGGGUAAUGCCUGUAGUCCUUCGGGACAGGAGAGACAGGUGGUGCAUGGUUGUCGUCAGCUCGUGUCGUGAGAAG
Molecule: ribosomal RNA, 531 nt
Filed under: uncultured bacterium
Lineage: Bacteria
Description: bacterial SSU rRNA
Rfam family: Bacterial small subunit ribosomal RNA
Source: RNAcentral